This 895-nucleotide long non-coding RNA is filed under the name Homo sapiens (human). Its description in RNAcentral is "HSALNT0108344". Lineage: Eukaryota; Metazoa; Chordata; Mammalia; Primates; Hominidae. The record is from RNAcentral.
GUUAGGACUUACUGUAUUUGAUUUGUAUACAAAGGCUAUGGGAUUAUAUUUACUCCCUCACAACAGUCCUAUGAGGUAAGUAUAGGACCCCUAUUUCUCAUAGGAGGCUCUGUAGCUUAGACAAGUGAAGCAACAAGCUAAGGUCACAUAUGCUGAGAGAUGAACCAAAGUCUGACCAACUCGGGAUCCUGCCAUGCUAAGUGCUCUUUGUCCUCUACUAACUGCUGACAGUUAAGCUACAUAUUAAAGAAUGAAGAGUUCACGAGAAUAGUCCAUCAAGCCUCAGAAGUUUUACCAUGAAAACAAUAAUACUGUUCGGACAAUGUGUUCUCAAUAGGCUUAUUGGUAACUUCUUUAUUGAUCAAACCUGAAUCUCUGGUAACAUGAAGAAUUGAAAACAUCUGGAUUCUGUUAGAAGCAUGGAACUCACUUGGGAAACUGGCUGCUAGUGUAUUGGACAUUCACAGCACAGCACUACCCCUGUGGUUUUAUAAAUAAACAUGAAACUCAAAUCUCCAAAACAACCACUAAGGCCUCUAAACCAAAACACCUCUGCCUGGGCAGAGGUGGCAAAGCAGUGGUUAACAUACGUCCCUAAUGUCAUUCAUUAGUAAUAUUUAAUUAUUUGUUUCAGUCACUCUGAAUAAAAUAGUUUGUUAAUUAUAGAUAAAAUCUCCUCUUUCUCUAUCAAUUUUUAUUUUGAGAGUUUAAUUCAUACUUUCCAGCAUCUCCUAAGAGCUUUUCUCUAUCGUCCCAAUCAAGUGAUCUCUCCUAUCUUGCUGUAAUCAACAAGAUGAUUUUUCUCCACUUCCACAAUUUUCUGUCUCUCAUUUAUGACUUUGAAAUCAGUAUGUCUUUCCCCGAUCUUUGCUACAAUAAACAAGCCUCUCUAACA